CUUGGUCAUUUAGAGGAAGUAAAAGUCGUAACAAGGUUUCCGUAGGUGAACCUGCGGAAGGAUCAUUAUUGAAUUUAAUGAGGGGAUAUUUGGUUGUAGCUGGCUCAUGAAUUUGGGCAUGUGCACACCUAUCUCUUUCAUCCACACACACCUGUGCACUUGUGAGGCAGAUGGGGAAUUUAUUGAUUGUUUUUUAAGAACAAUUGGUGCUGGACCCUCUGUCUACUCAAUACAUAAACUCAAUUUAUUUAGAAAUGAAUGUAAUGGAUGUAACGCAUCUAAUACUAAGUUUCAACAACGGAUCUCAUGGCUCUCGCAUCGAUGAAGAACGCAGCGAAAUGCGAUAAGUAAUGUGAAUUGCAGAAUUCAGUGAAUCAUCGAAUCUUUGAACGCACCUUGCGCUCCUUGGUAUUCCUUGGAGCAUGCCUGUUUGAGUAUCAUGAAAUCUUCAAAGUAAAUCUUUUGUUAACUCAAUUGGUUCUACUUUGGUAUUGGAGGUCUUUGCAGCUUCACACCUGCUCCUCUUUGUUCAUUAGCUGGAUCUCAGUGUUAUGCUUGGUUCCACUCAGCGUGAUAAGUUAUCUAUCGCUGAGGACACUGUAACAGGUGGCCAAGGGAAAUGCAGAUGAACCGCUUCUAGUAGUCCAUUGACUUGGACAAUAUUUUUAUGAUCUGAUCUCAAAUCAGGUAGGACUACCCGCUGAACUUAAGCAUAUCAAUAAGCGGAGGAAAAGAAACUAACAAGGAUUCCCCUAGUAACGGCGAGUGAAGCGGGAAGAGCUCAAAUUUAAAAUCUGGCAGUGUAUUCUGUCCGAGUUGUAGUCUAGAGAAGCAUCAUCCGUGCUGGACCGUGUACAAGUCUCCUG
This 866-nucleotide ribosomal RNA is filed under the name uncultured Thanatephorus. RNAcentral's name for it is "eukaryotic LSU rRNA". The stretch from base 287 to 440 matches the Rfam family "5.8S ribosomal RNA". Lineage: Eukaryota; Fungi; Basidiomycota; Agaricomycetes; Cantharellales; Ceratobasidiaceae. The record is from RNAcentral.